UAAGACGAGGGAUCCUAGCGUUGCUCGGAAUCAUUGGGCGUAAAGCGGGUGUAGGGGGCUUGAUAAGUCAGAUGUGAAAGCCCAGGGCUUAACCCUGGAAGUGCAUUUGAUACUGUUAAGCUUGAGUGUCAGAGAGGUCACUGGAAUACCUGGUGUAGUGGUGAAAUACGUAGAUAUCAGGUGGAACACCGGAGGCGAAGGCGGGUGACUGGCUGAACACUGACCCUGAGACCCGAAAGCGUGGGGAUCAAACAGG
RNAcentral lists this ribosomal RNA (256 nucleotides) under uncultured bacterium. RNAcentral describes it as "partial 16S ribosomal RNA". It matches the Rfam family "Bacterial small subunit ribosomal RNA", at positions 521 to 776 of the family's 1533-position model. The record is from RNAcentral.